Molecule: ribosomal RNA, 123 nt
Filed under: uncultured bacterium
Lineage: Bacteria
Description: partial 16S ribosomal RNA
Rfam family: Bacterial small subunit ribosomal RNA
Source: RNAcentral
CUUGUACACACCGCCCGUCACACCAUGGGAGCGGGUUCUGCCAGAAGUAGUUAGCCUAACCGCAAGGAGGGCGAUUACCACGGCAGGGUUCGUGACGUGGGGUGAAGUCGUAACAACGGUACC